Molecule: small nuclear RNA, 108 nt
Organism: Sorex araneus (European shrew)
Lineage: Eukaryota; Metazoa; Chordata; Mammalia; Eulipotyphla; Soricidae
Source: Ensembl
GUACUAAAUUCAGCAGCACAUAUACCAAAAUUGGAAUGAUAAAAGAAAAGAUUAGCAUGGCCCCUGAGCAAGGAUGACACACAAAUCUGUGAAGCAUUCCAUAUUUUU